AAAUGUUACGGUUAUAUGUAAAGGCACACUUCGUGUGAGCUUUCCCGAGUAUCCGAUGUAAUUCUAGAUGGUUCAACGGAUUAUCGGAAGCUCGAUCAGUUUGGAAGCUUGCCGGAGACCUAUCACACUAUCCAUAAGUCUUUUCAGUAGUUUUUGAGCAUCUUGGCCAAGGUUUAUAAUGGCAUAUUUAGGGUGAUUUGUAAUGAUAUUUUGAUGAAUGUGUUGUUGGUGUUUUGGCAUGUAUAAACUUUUGGGAGUUAUAUUGGUUUGGCACCAUUUGAUGUUUUGACAAAUUGUCUCACUUUAGUUAUCUUAUUAUGCA
Molecule: long non-coding RNA, 322 nt
Organism: Gossypium arboreum
Lineage: Eukaryota; Viridiplantae; Streptophyta; Magnoliopsida; Malvales; Malvaceae
Exons: 2
Source: RefSeq, a predicted model, not a curated record